GUGAGGAAUUUUGCGCAAUGGGGGCAACCCUGACGCAGCGACGCCGCGUGGAGGACGAAGUCUUUCGGGAUGUAAACUCCUGUCAGUGGGGACGAUAAUGACGGUACCCACAGAGGAAGCACCGGCUAACUCCGUGCCAGCAGCCGCGGUAAGACGGAGGGUGCAAGCGUUGUUCGGAAUUACUGGGCGUAAAGCGUAUGUAGGCGGCAAGUUAAGUUCAAUGUUAAAGCCCACGGCUCAACCGAGGAGAUGCAUUGAAUACUGGCUAGCUAGAGGGUGUUAGAGGAAGACGGAAUUCCCAGUGUAGCGGUGAAAUGCGUAGAUAUUGGGAGGAACAUCGGUAGCGAAAGCGGUCUUCUGGGACAUACCUGACGCUGAGGUACGAAAGCGUGGGUAGCGAACAGGAUUAGAAACCCGUGUAGUCC
Molecule: ribosomal RNA, 425 nt
Filed under: uncultured bacterium
Lineage: Bacteria
Description: partial 16S ribosomal RNA
Rfam family: Bacterial small subunit ribosomal RNA
Source: RNAcentral